This is a long non-coding RNA of Gossypium raimondii (Peruvian cotton), 386 nucleotides long. RefSeq lists it as uncharacterized. The record is from RefSeq and is a predicted model, not a curated record. NCBI's taxonomy places the organism in Eukaryota, Viridiplantae, Streptophyta, Magnoliopsida, Malvales, Malvaceae. The transcript has 2 exons.
AUUUUCUUCACCUUUUUCCACUGAAAACAAGAGAAAGAAACUUUGUUCUUCAAGCUUUAGCAUUCGGCCAUCUUAGGGAUUUCAAUUCAAGAUUUUGGUGAUCGCUACGUGUUCGGGGAUCGUCAGCUAAGCUCGUCACACUAUCGAUAUUUUCUUUUGGUAUUUUGCUAAUUUGUUCUCAAAUAUAUGGCACGUAUAGUAUAGUUAAAAUAUUGAUUUUAGAACCAAUGUGUAUAUGUAUUUAAAAGCCAUGCGAAAAUGGCUUAUCUCUUUUGGUUUGAAUUCGGUAUUAAUGCAUAUGCUUUAACGGUCUAAAAUUGGUAUUCUAAAAUUGGUAUAUGCAUGCUGCCCAAUUUUGGUGAAUAAAUGUUGUCCAAUUUUGUAUA